UGGGAGCGGAUUCUGAAAAGAACAUUUAUAUUUGGGAAUCAACUCAGCUCAGCAUCAGACAUUACGAAUACUGCAGUUGGUCACAUUUUACUAUGUGAAGGGCAGAAAGGGAGCCCAACAGUCUUCAUAAGCCAGACCUAGUCUCUAAGGUCACCGGCACAGACGCAGGGUCUAAAGCAGGAAAGAGGUGCGACUGGAAAGGAGGUUAGACAGGGCCCUGCGGGAAUGGAUCUGCCCGGAGCCCUCGCCUGGUUUUGCUUGAGACUCCGACAAGACUCCCAAUGCUUCUCUCCCCGACCCUAUCCCCACUCCCUCCAUCCUGGAAAAGCCAGUGAGCAAAGUUAACUCUUUCUUCUAAGAAACCCUGAGUGAAAUCUUGCUCUUCCUUUCUGCUAGAGUCCUGAAACCCUUUCGCUUCUCAUUGUGGGUUCACCAGCACGUGGUCUUCGGACACUGAGAGCACCUUCGCUCUCAGCUGUGAUCCUAGCUAGCCCAGACACCAGUCUGUACCCAAAGGAAGAGUAGGAAGUUGCAAAGGGAAGCUGGCUAACAAGGGCUUCUUCUGCCCUACUUGGCAAAGGCCCAUACGGGUGGCCUCCGUGGAUAUGGAGCUCCUUCAUUUUGUUCCAAAAAGAGCUCUGCCAGGCUUUACCAUUGCCCUGGAGGUGCACAGGCGCCCGUAUACUCGAGCACAACCAUGGGCUCACCCCAAGCGCGCACACCUGCACCCACGCGUAAGGAAGAACCACACAGCUAUCUCUGUCGGGGAAGAACACGAGGAGUGAAGUGCUUUAGGUGGAAACUCCUCACAUCUCCUUUCUUUCCUCUGCUCCCCCUCUCUGCCCCUGGUACUCCGGAUCCAAUCCUUGGCUUAGGAAUCCACUCAAGCCACGUCUGGCUGCUUUGUUCCAGAGGAGCGCAGCUCCGAGACUGCACUUCAGCGGUGCAGCCUCCCUCCAGGUCGGCGAGCGGCGCCAGAUCCGGGACUUCAGGGUCUCCGCGGGAGCUUAGGAGGCUCAGGAUCUGAGUUGGAGAGCUGGAAGGCCAAACUCCGAGCCGCUGAGGGACUGCGCAGGAAGACCACAGAAAUAAACCAAAGGGACACCGCGGACAGAUGUACCAGAGGACACCACUGAAGUCCAGGAGAAUCUCCACCAAAACCAUCAGCGUUUUCCUUGUAGCUUUCUGUCCCUCGAAGUGGAAAGUUGAGGUUUCUGAGAAGUCCACGGAGAGAACCUGCAGCAAACUGAAGCCACAGACUCCGAAGGCAUAGGGAGAAAAAAUGCUUCCAUCCCCCUUUCACUUUAAACUUGAUCGCUUCUGGGACUUCACUGGAGGGCGGUGGAGUUGCACCAACCUGGAGUACAGGCAGAUCCCAGCGAGCACUUCCAAGUACUUUAGGACGUGGGGGUGACUCUUUUUUCUUCAGGAUUGUCCCACUUGCCACCCUUUCCAGCUGAGCUGAUAGGAACCAAUGAAAGUCUAGGCGAUGAGGAUUUUCCGUUACCUCAGGGAUCAAAGUAUAAAAUGUUGAAUGAGAAACCCGAAGACCUUGCAUCGCUGGGCUGAAUAACUUGUUUUCUUUUUUAUGGUGUCCAGACUGAGCAAAGAAACAUAUAUUGGGGAAAGGAUACUGUAUUCAGUAAAUUGUGCUGGAAAAAGUGGUAAGCCACAUGUAGAAGAAUGAAACUGGAUCCCCAGCUCUCACCUAAUACAAAAAUCGACUCAAGAUGCAUCAAAGACUUAAAUAUAAAACCUGAAACCUUGAAAAUUCUAGAAGAUAACACCAGAAAAACUCUUCUAAAUGUUGGCUUACGCAAAGAAUUCAUGACUAAGACACCAAAAGAAAAUGCAACAAAAACAAAAAUAAAUAAAUGGGACUCAAUUAAACUGAAAAGAUUUUGCACACCAAAUAAAUAAUCAGAAGAAUAAACAGAAAACCCACAGAAUGGAAGAAAAUAUUCACCAACUAUGCAUCUGACAAAGGACUAGUAUCCAGAAUUUACAAGGAACUCAAACAAAUAAAUGAAUUCAAAUAUCCCAUUAAAAAGUGUGCAAAGGACAUGAAUAGACAAUUGUCAAAAGAAGAUAUACAAACAGCCAAUAAACAUAAAAAAAAAUACAGCAUCGCUAGUCACCAGGGAAAUGCAAAUUAAAACCACAGUGAGAUUCCACCUUACUCCCGCAAGAAUGUCCACAAUUAAAAAGUCAGAAAACAAUAGAUGUUGGCAUGGAUUUGGUGAAAAUCACAUCAGUGAAUACAGAUUUGGGAAGAAAUGUGCAUAACUGGUUUCAGCUAGCCAACACGCUGGUCCCAGUAUACCACUGGCUACGGCAUUCUAAAAGUGUCCUCAUAUGUAUCUAUUAAAUAUUCAAGAACUUUGACCAAUAUAUUCUCUGCCAAAUGCUCUCAAGAAAUCUUGGUGGAGAUGGUGUCGGGGUAAGGUGGGGGUUUUUCCGAAAUGGAAUCAUGUUAAUGUGGACUUAAUGUUAAAAUAUGAAUUUUCAAAAAAAUUUGCUUUACUUUCAGUAGGCUAAAUACCUACAUAGUAAAAUUUAAAAAAAUCUGUAAUUCUCUCUUAAUUUAUUCAUUAUACUAUUAUAUGUGGUAGGCAUUUUUUUCCUGGCUCUCAUAUCAUUUGUGUUUGUUUUAUACUAAUGAAAUACAGAAAAACUCUGUAGUAUAUAGAGCCCAAUGGAACUUUUAAGAGUGAGAAUUUUAAUUUGUAUAUUAUGGAAAAGUCAUCUCAGAAAUAUUAGUUUAUAAAUAUGCAGAUACAAUUUCUAGAAUGUCAAAAAAUAAUCCUUUCACCUGAGUUGUCUUAAGUAAAUAACUUUUAGGAUUUUUAAUUGGAUUAUUUAUGUAAUCAUUAUAAAGGAGAUCUGAGGUAAAUUGCUUAAGCAUUUUCUUUAGCUUUUUGCAAGACUAAAAAUGGAGAAUAAAUAUUUGCUCAAAUAUCGAGUCAAACUAAUUUUGAAGAGAAAUCUCUAAAUACUUUAUUAAAUGACCAAAAUAUAAGAAAAUGUUUAAAAAGACUGCAAAUAGAAACACAUCAGUUUAAAGCACACAAAGAGAUAAGUGGAAAAAGUAUUUUCUCAGAACAUGCUAAAAAAAACUUAGAAUAUCCAGGAUACUGCAUUUAUUCAUCCUUACAACAUGAAUUUUAAAUAUCUUAGCGACUGUGCUAUCAUUUUCAGUGUUCUGUAUGAAUUCUUACCUUCUCAGAAGAUUAUGUAGAUAUAACAGAUACUUCUGGAAUAUAUAUCCAUGAUAAGAUUUGUCUUUUUACAGGAGAAAAGAAAAUAUAUCAAGUCCAACAGAACUUAAGAAAAUACAAUUUAAUUAACUUUAUAUGAUAUAGGCCUUGUUAAUAUUAUAUAUCAAAAAAGAAUUCUAGUUUAUAUUCUUUUGUCUGUAAGAUGGGGGAGCUGUUGCAUUAUAAAAAAUACUGGUCAGUUCCAUUCCUCUAAGCAUUUUCUUUUGAUUAAAAUCAUUUGUAGUAAAAAUGAUGACCCAAACCUUUGUAAAUGAUAUUUUAGCUGGGUUAUAAUCUAAUGAAAUUGUGAUUUUAAAAGUGCUUCAAUUACUACAACUAUAAAAUCUUGGUUUACUAGGAAUAUGUAUAAGGUGAAGUAUCCAUUAUUUCUUUAACAUCAGUAUAUAUUGUUUAACAUUCUGCUUUUGGGCUAAGACUUCCUAGGCUUUACAGAAGAGAAGUUGUUUAUCUGAACAGUGUAAAAAUAUGUGUGUGUGUGUGUGUGUGUGUGUGUGUGUAUGUGUAUAAAAAUAUAUGUUCUGUUGUUAUUUAGUUAUGUCUUCCCUGAAAACACUGAUAGAUCCAACAAGUCUCUUGAUUCCUCUUAAAGAUAAGCAAGAAGAAGAAUAAAGUAUGUCACACUUAAACUUGAGUAAAUCCAAGUUGGAAAAACAGAAGCAGAUUUUUUUUUAAUCCUACAGGAUGAAUGUUGAGAGAGACAAAAAUAUUAACACCACAUAAAUUAUAACCUAGAGAAAUUCUAAACCAGGUUGAAAACCUACGCAUAAGCAGUCAAUAAUUAUCUUACACUUAUGCAAUACAAUUUUUUAUUACAGAAAGAACUUUAGUAAUUACCUCAUGCUGUAUAUAUGGGAAAGGAGAUAAGGAAGAAAAACUCUUUAUAGUAUGCAAUUAGUUAUCUCCUGCCUUAUCUUGGUAUUUGUAGAAACACUUGGAAGUAGGAAAAGUGAACAUUUGUAUCCCUGUUCUAUAGUUUAAAAAAUUGACACACAUAAGUUAUUUUUAAUUUAUCCAGUUAAUCACCAGUAAUCAUGAUGCUUUAUGAAUGACAAUUCUUUUAUAUUUAUUCAAAAAUAUGGGGAAAAUAAAUGACAUCUGCCUAUAUAACUUAAAAUUCUUGAAGAAAAUGUGUAUAGGAAUAACUUGGUAUGAAAUGUUAUAGAAAUGUUAGUUCUUUGUCUCUUAUAGUUACAGUAAGUGGCUAAUCAUCAUGUCUACGUUUAUGUAUAAUUUAUUUACAUUUUAAAAUGUUCUAACCUUGAAUACAUAGGGAACAAAUAUCUGAUGAUAGGUGUUUGCAAGGCAGCAUCAGUGAUUUUUCUUGAUAUUUUAUCUGAAAUAUCUGAGUAUCUACUAGGAAUCUAACAUGGAAAGGUAAUUACAUAUGAUGUUGGAAGCAAAUUUGUAUACACCCUAUUUAUGGCCAAGCAAAACAGUGUAAUGUGUCUGAGCAUGUAUGUGUUCCUUUCACCAGUUUUCUUGUGGUAGAAUUUAUAAAACUGCAUAUAUUCACAAUGUACAAUGUGAUGGUUUGACGUAUAUAUACAUUGUGAAAUAAUUACCACAAUCAAGUCAAUGAACACAUUCAUCACCUCAGCGUUUUCUAAAAUUACAUUUAUCAAACUGUAUUUGAAAGUAAAUGUGUUUUCUCAUUGUUAACCACGACUUUAAAACUUUAUUACAGAUUAAUGUUAAGAAAGCUACUGAAAUUAAUUUUAGUAAUAAAACAUCUGAAUAUACACCAUGAAAUGUAUAAAUGUAUGUGCUGAUUUUAGGAGUACAACUAAAUAAGUAAUGCAAACUUACUUGCAGGAUCAUCACUUUAACUCUGUCUCUCUCUCUCUCUCUCUCUUUAUAUAUAUGUCUCUCUCAUAUAUAUGAUAUAUCUUAUACAUCUAACUAUAUAUAUGUAGAGGAAGAAAGAGACACUAUAGAGUAAUACAACCUUUCCAUUAACUGCAUAUAAAGUCAGCCUUAUAAUAAUGCCCCUGGAUUAUCUGACCCUUUAAUAAAAUGUUAUACAUAUUUAGAGACUUGGAUUGUGCCUGUUUUUACUAACAGUUGUUAUUUAAAAUAUUAUUAGUAAGUUAAUUCAUAUAAACCAUGCAGAGAAGCUGUAUAACUGUGCAUAUAAAUAGUGAAGAGAAACUGAUCUGGCAUUCAGGGAUGUUGAGAUUAUUCCAACUCCGCUGCCAAUUGGCUGUGUGUCUUUGGAGAGGUCACAUAAUAUCUCCGAGCUAUAGUUUCCUUAUCAGUAACAUAGACUAGAUGAUUUUUAAAAUUUCACUCAGCACAUAAUUUGAUCUCUAACUUAAAAGAGCUGGAAUAAAAAUCACCACUAAAAAUUAUUAGCGUUACUAUGGUUGUACUUUGUUUUUAUACAUUACAGGCAUUAAAAACUACCUAGAGUUAAUUAGUAUUCGACAAAAUUAUUUCUUACAAAUCUUACGCUAUUCUGUAACGCAUGGGUCUAAUAUGUAUUUAAUGUAGCUUUCGUACAACUGCAAAAACUUCAAAGCAUAUCUGAACUUGUGGGUUUUGUAAGACUUGAACGCUAUAAAUGAAAGUAAUGGAAAUUUUAUUAUAUUCUAUUAUCGAUUGUGUGAUUAGAGUUGUUGAGUGGUAACUCAGUGUCUCAUGUGUGUGAAAGAGAGAGAAAUGAUGACAGUUGUAAAAGCCUAAGAUACACAAGACAGAAUAGUGGUUAGGAUCAUAAGCUUGGAAAUUAGAACCGAUAUUUUACUUCCAGUGUCUGCCACAUCUCAGUGGUAUGACUUUGGGAAAGUAGUUUAAUUUCUCUGAGUUACUUCAUCUGUAGUAUGCAGAUUACAAUAGCCACCGCACAGUGGGUAUAAAGAUGAGUAAGGUUAUAUUUUUGAACACGUAGAAGAGUAUCUGACAUACAAUAAGUGUGUACCGUUAAAGUAUACUUAAACAAAAUUUAAUAUUAAUAAAAGCUAUAUAUAGGUAUAUGGUUUUCACUUUUUGUUGUUGUUGUUAUUAUUGUUUUUCUUCAGUGCUGGGAAAACUGGCUAGCCAUAUGUAGAAAGCUGAGACUGGAUCCCUUCCUUACACCUUAUACAAAAAUUAAUUCAAGAUGGAUUAAAGACUUAAACAUUAGACCUAAAACCAUAAAAACCCUAGAAGAAACCUAGGCAAUACCAUUCAGGACAUAGGCAUGGGCAAGGACUUCAUGUCUAAAACACCAAAAGCAAUGGCAACAAAAGCCAAAACUGACAAAUGGGAUCUAAUUAAAGUAAAGAGCUUCUGCACAGCAAAAGAAACUACCAUCAGAGUGAACAGGCAACCUACAGAAUGGGAGAACAUUUUUGCAAUCUAUUCAUCUGACAAAGGGCUAAUAUCCAGAAUCUACAAUUAACUCAAACAAAUUUACAAGAAAAAAUCAAACAACC
This 6691-nucleotide long non-coding RNA is filed under the name Homo sapiens (human). Its description in RNAcentral is "HSALNT0376615". Lineage: Eukaryota; Metazoa; Chordata; Mammalia; Primates; Hominidae. The record is from RNAcentral.